CCGUUGAAGGAAUCAGAGAAAGAACUGGAAGAGCUUGAAGGGGCUCGAGACCCCAUAGGUACAACAAUGCCAAGCAACCAGAUCUUCCAGGGACUAAGCCACUACCUAAAGACUAAACAUGGACUGACCCUGGACUCUGACCUCAUAGGUAGCAAUAAAUAUCCUAGUAAGAGCACCAGUGGAAGGGGAAGCCCUAGGUCCUGCUAAGACUGAAUCCCCAGUGAACUAGAUUGUUGGGGGGAGGGCGGCAAGGGGGGGAGGAUGGGGAGGGGAAUGCCCAUAAAGAAGGGGAGGGGGGAGGGGAGAGGGGGAUGUUUGCCCAGAAACCGGGAAAGGGAAUAACACUCGAAAUGUAUAUAAGAAAUACUCAAGUUAAAAAAAAAAAAAAAAAAA
RNAcentral lists this long non-coding RNA (393 nucleotides) under Rattus norvegicus (Norway rat). RNAcentral describes it as "long non-coding RNA NONRATT021009". The record is from RNAcentral. Lineage: Eukaryota; Metazoa; Chordata; Mammalia; Rodentia; Muridae.